This 301-nucleotide ribosomal RNA is filed under the name uncultured bacterium. RNAcentral describes it as "partial 16S ribosomal RNA". It matches the Rfam family "Bacterial small subunit ribosomal RNA", at positions 509 to 807 of the family's 1533-position model. The record is from RNAcentral.
CAGUCGCCACGGUAAUACGAAGGGUGCAAGCGUUAAUCGGAAUUACUGGGCGUAAAGCGUGCGUAGGCGGUUUGUUAAGUCUGUUGUGAAAUCCCCGGGCUCAACCUGGGAAUGGCAAUGGAUACUGGCAAGCUAGAGUGUGUCAGAGGAUGGUGGAAUUCCCGGUGUAGCGGUGAAAUGCGUAGAGAUCGGGAGGAACAUCGGUGGCGAAGGCGGCCAUCUGGGACAACACUGACGCUGAGGCACGAAAGCGUGGGGAGCAAACAGGAUUAGAUACCCGCGUAGUCCCUGUCUCUUAUAC